GAUGAACGCUGGCGGCGUGCCUAAUACAUGCAAGCCGAGCGAACAGUUGAGGAGCAUUCCCUUCUGACGUUAGCGGCGGACGGGUGAGUAACACGUGGAUAACCUAUCUAUAAGACUGGAAUAACUUCGGGAAACCGGAGCUAAUACCGGAUAAUAUAUUGAACCGCAUGUUUCAAUUGUGAAAGACGGUUUUGCUGUCAAUUAUAGAUCGAUCCGCGCCGCAUUAGCUAGGUGGUAAGGUAACGGCUUACCAAGGCAACGAUGCGUAGCCGACCUGAGAGGGUGAUCGGCCACACUGGAACUGAGACACGGUCCAGACUCCUACGGGAGGCAGCAGUAGGGAAUCUUCCGCAAUGGGCGAAAGCCUGACGGAGCAACGCCGCGUGAGUGAUGAAGGUCUUCGGAUCGUAAAACUCUGUUAUUAGGGAAGAACAAAUGUGUAAGUAACUAUGCACGUCUUGACGGUACCUAAUCAGAAAGCCACGGCUAACUACGUG
RNAcentral lists this ribosomal RNA (497 nucleotides) under uncultured bacterium. Its description in RNAcentral is "partial 16S ribosomal RNA". It matches the Rfam family "Bacterial small subunit ribosomal RNA", at positions 28 to 507 of the family's 1533-position model. The record is from RNAcentral.